This 253-nucleotide ribosomal RNA is filed under the name uncultured bacterium. RNAcentral describes it as "partial 16S ribosomal RNA". It matches the Rfam family "Bacterial small subunit ribosomal RNA", at positions 524 to 776 of the family's 1533-position model. The record is from RNAcentral.
GACGUAGGUGGCAAGCGUUGUCCGGAAUUAUUGGGCGUAAAGCGCGCGCAGGCGGUCCUUUAAGUCUGAUGUGAAAGCCCACGGCUCAACCGUGGAGGGUCAUUGGAAACUGGGGGACUUGAGUACAGAAGAGAAGAGUGGAAUUCCACGUGUAGCGGUGAAAUGCGUAGAGAUGUGGAGGAACACCAGUGGCGAAGGCGACUCUUUGGUCUGUAACUGACGCUGAGGCGCGAAAGCGUGGGGAGCAAACAGG